ACACUCCUGCGGGAGGCAGCAGUGGGGAAUUUUGGACAAUGGGCGAAAGCCUGAUCCAGCAAUGCCGCGUGAGUGAAGAAGGCCUUCGGGUUGUAAAGCUCUUUUGUCAGGGAAGAAACGGUGAGAGCUAAUAUCUCUUGCUAAUGACGGUACCUGAAGAAUAAGCACCGGCUAACUACGUGCCAGCAGCCGCGGUAAUACGUAGGGUGCAAGCGUUAAUCGGAAUUACUGGGCGUAAAGCGUGCGCAGGCGGUUUUGUAAGUCUGAUGUGAAAUCCCCGGGCUCAACCUGGGAAUUGCAUUGGAGACUGCAAGGCUAGAAUCUGGCAGAGGGGGGUAGAAUUCCACGUGUAGCAGUGAAAUGCGUAGAUAUGUGGAGGAACACCGAUGGCGAAGGCAGCCCCCUGGGUCAAGAUUGACGCUCAUGCACGAAAGCGUGGGGAGCAAACAGGAUUAGAAACCCCGGUAGUCC
Molecule: ribosomal RNA, 471 nt
Filed under: uncultured organism
Description: partial 16S ribosomal RNA
Rfam family: Bacterial small subunit ribosomal RNA
Source: RNAcentral